Molecule: ribosomal RNA, 490 nt
Filed under: uncultured bacterium
Lineage: Bacteria
Description: partial 16S ribosomal RNA
Rfam family: Bacterial small subunit ribosomal RNA
Source: RNAcentral
AUUGAACGCUGGCGGCAGGCCUAACACAUGCAAGUCGAACGGUAACAGGAAGACGCUUGCUUCUUUGCUGACGAGUGGCGGACGGGUGAGUAAUGUCUGGGAAACUGCCUGAUGGAGGGGGAUAACUACUGGAAACGGUAGCUAAUACCGCAUAACGUCGCAAGACCAAAGAGGGGGACCUUCGGGCCUCUUGCCAUCGGAUGUGCCCAGAUGGGAUUAGCUAGUAGGUGGGGUAACGGCUCACCUAGGCGACGAUCCCUAGCUGGUCUGAGAGGAUGACGAGCCACACUGGAACUGAGACACGGUCCAGACUCCUACGGGAGGCAGCAGUGGGGAAUAUUGCACAAUGGGCGCAAGCCUGAUGCAGCCAUGCCGCGUGUAUGAAGAAGGCCUUCUGGUUGUAAAGUACUUUCAGCGGGGAGGAAGGGAGUAAAGUUAAUACCUUGACGCAUUGACGUUACCCGCAGAAGAAGCACCGGCUAACUCCGUG